Molecule: ribosomal RNA, 381 nt
Filed under: uncultured soil bacterium
Lineage: Bacteria
Description: bacterial SSU rRNA
Rfam family: Bacterial small subunit ribosomal RNA
Source: RNAcentral
AGUGGCGAACGGGUGAGUAAUGCAUCGGAACGUACCCAGUAGUGGGGGACAACCUCGAGAAAUCGAGGCUAAUACCGCAUACGCUACGGGAAAGCGGCGCUAUUGGAGCGGCCGAUGCCGGAUUAGCUAGUUGGUGGGGUAAAGGCCUACCAAGGCGACGAUCCGUAGCUGGUCUGAGAGGAUGAUCAGCCACACUGGGACUGAGACACGGCCCAGACUCCUACGGGAGGCAGCAGUGGGGAAUUUUGGACAAUGGGCGCAAGCCUGAUCCAGCCAUGCCGCGUGCGGGAAGAAGGCCUUCGGGUUGUAAACCGCUUUCGGCCGGAACGAAUGACGGUACCGGAAGAAGAAGCACCGGCUAACUACGUGCCAGCAGCCGCG